Molecule: small RNA, 18 nt
Filed under: Arabidopsis thaliana (thale cress)
Lineage: Eukaryota; Viridiplantae; Streptophyta; Magnoliopsida; Brassicales; Brassicaceae
Description: ATSL110550
Source: RNAcentral
UUUUGAAGGACAUUUAAA